Long non-coding RNA from Cotesia glomerata, 523 nucleotides. RefSeq lists it as uncharacterized. Lineage: Eukaryota; Metazoa; Arthropoda; Insecta; Hymenoptera; Braconidae. The transcript is spliced from 3 exons. The record is from RefSeq and is a predicted model, not a curated record.
UUUAGUUAAAUUUAUUUAUUUAUUUAAUAGUAAGGCAGACGCCUACGAUCGUCAUCGGAUGUAAAUUUUUUUAUUAAUUCUCUUUUAUUUCUAACGCUAACUUUCAUAUUAUUAGUGUAAAAGCGUAAGGUUUUAAGGGAACCGAAAGUUACGUGGAGGAGACUCUUCUCUUGACUUGGGAAUCGCCGGUCUCCAGUGACGCUCGAUGGUCGGCUUUUAGAAACGAAUAGAAUUGGACAUAGUCGGUUCGACUAUAAAAUAAAAAUGAAUGGCUCGGUUUCGCAUAGUACUAUAUACUGUACAGUACGUUUUUUGAAUCGUAAAUACCGACGACGGCGUGUGAAAUAAGGAGGAGUAGAAUAAGAACCACCGAGAAGAGAAUUAUACAUUAACAUGACACGAGGAGGCUUCGUUCUGUAGUAGCAUAUUAUGUGUAUUAACCUAGGUCAAGAACACACUCUCCCACUCUCAAUACUCAUAUUUAUAUCGCCAUUUAAUAUCAAUCAAUGGACCAUUUUACUUU